UCUCAUAUAUAACAUUCCCUUCCCGUGCUGUACCAGCUCCACCCUGGCCCCAGUGAGAACAGCUAGAUGUGACAGGCCUGGUGCGGUCAGCGUUGCCUCUUCUGCCUUCCUGCCAAUCAGUAUGGGAACGGACCUGCAGCAGCAUUGAUGAUGUGGAUAAACAUCUGAGUUUAAGCUGUUUUAGGGGGACUGUGGAAGAUGGAGAACUACUGGCCACGUUGAACGGUUUCAUGUUCACAACCACUGCAAAAUGAAGGGGAUAAGAGCCCUCCACUGAGUUUCACUCAGGAUUUCAUACCCUAAGGCAGGCCAGGGAGGCUGGACUGAACUACUCCAAGUGGAAUGAGGUAGGAGCUGUAUUGCGAGGGACACAUAUCAAAUUAGAGAGCAUGUGUUAAUUCUGCAGCUAAGAUAUGUCCCUGGGAAAAAAUCACUAGUGACCAGAUUUUGCUUUUUACUUGUGCAGCUUCUCUGCUACAGGGUUACUGUAUAAAUAGCAGAAUCCUGGAAAAUCUAUGGAGAAAAAUUUUUGUUGAUUUGACUUGAAAGAAUACUUCGAACCUGGCCAUGCAACAAUGUACCCUAAUCUUCAUGUUUUAGUCCAAAGCAUGUUGGGUCUAUUUUCUUGAAAAAUAUAUUUAUUUACAACAAUUUAAAGUAAGUGAAGGAGGGUGUAAAACGUGACUGCUCUCAUGUGGUAGUGUUUCACACCCACAGGUGUAACAGGUGCAAGUGACUAUACAAGAUGCAGGACAAGAAAAAUCCAGGCCAGUUGUUAGGUCCAAGCCAUGACUUUUGUCAAGAUUCUUGAGCUUGUCUACCAUUGAAAAUACUAAUUGGUGGAAGUGUACAAUAAACCCCUCAGUGGAAACUCAGAUUAUAUUAGCAAAACGCUUUUGCAAAACAGCCUUUUUGUAAAUCUUCCAUGGACAACAGAGACAAUGAGUUUGGUCUGGGGACCUGAGUGGUGACCCAUACUUAAAAUAAUAUUAAAAUAAUUAAAAUAAUUAUAUAUAUAUAUAUUAUAUAUAUAUAUUUUAAGAUUAAAAUAAUCUUAAAAUAAGAUUAAAAUAAUUUUCUGUGAGGCCAUGAAUGAAUCUGCUACUAGGUUUCUCCUAUAGCCACACAUCGUGUAAAGAGUGCAGGUUUUACUGUCAUUUUUCAAACAUGGAAGAUAGAUAAUGUGUAGAUAAUGUUUGCAAACAUUGCUCCUUUGUGAGUGUGGCUGUACAUUGAAAUAAAUAAGCUACAAUAGCAAAGGGUUAGGAGUUUUACCCUUUGACAGCAUGGGUUUUCAACUCCUAGCCAGCAAAGCUAUACCAGCAAAACCUUUCAGUGGAAACCAAAACACUUUUGCUUAGCCUGUGUAGACAAGACAUCAGAGAAAGGCUGCAAUCUUUUGAUCAGCAGUAUAGCAGCCUGAAAGUUCACAAGGUGAGAAGUGCUUCUCACCAAGAAUAUACACUGCAAACUGUAUUUAGAAAUAGCAUUUUUAAUUAAAAGCAGCAUUUCUGAUCCUGUUGGCAGUAGCUAUGGGGCAUAAGUGAGGAUAUCUUUUCUGACAGGAGAUGUUUGGGAUCUUGAUGUAAGAGACUGUAAACCAGUCUCAAGCCUGCUUGAAUAAUCAAAUUAAGAACUUUUCUUCUUAGGCAUACAUUUCUGAAGUGGCACAUGCAGGUUUGGCACAGAGCACUCGUUAUUACCAAUAACAGAGCUGACAUCAAAGACUUUCCUAUGUUAUGGAAAUUUGUAAAGAUGCAAAUACAGAACCUUCAUGUA
This is a non-coding RNA of Anas platyrhynchos (mallard), 1779 nucleotides long. The record is from RefSeq and is a predicted model, not a curated record. NCBI's taxonomy places the organism in Eukaryota, Metazoa, Chordata, Aves, Anseriformes, Anatidae.